AUGAAAGACACAGAGAGAGGCAGAGACAAAGCAGAGGGAGAAGCAGACUCCCUGGGGGAGCCCUAUGCGGGACUCGAACCCAGGACCCCGAGAUCACACCCUGAGCCAAAGGAAGACGCUCAAUCACUGAGCCACUCAAACGUCCCUCUAACUCUGUUUCUCAUCGGUCUAAAAGCACCCUUCAGGGUAUCCUGUUGGAAUAAUCCACGUCGCACAGUCGCGUAAUUGAGUUCAGGUCACAAUGCAAGCCAACUGCUCUGGAAUACCAACUCGCAAGCACCACUCAACGAGAGGAUACGUCUUUAUCCUGCACAGAGGACCUAGAGACGCUGUGCUAUCACCCACGUGACGUACAGUGCUUCUGAAUACCAAUGGUGUUCACCAGGAAAAGACCUUCUUCAGAUGGAAGAGGCCCAACCUCUCAGGGAUAGGAAUCCUUAACUAGCUACCAGGCUCAGAGCUACCAAUCUGUUGCCGUACAAUUAAUUCUGGUGGCAUACAGUGAAGGAAUAAGGUUUCUCUGUGGUUCGGCAACAUAAUCACACGUGAAGCAGUGCCUAUAAAUCACAGGUGUGUGCCGUUCCUGCUAAUUGGUGAACUAACCUAUUAACAAGUCUCUUAAGUGUUACACGAUUUAGAUAUGUGAGCAGAGAGAUCCGUUAUACUGGGGAAUCCUGAAAUUUGUACGACUUGCCUACAAAGAGCAGAGCAAGAUACCUGCCUGGAGGUUGCUGUGCUGAAUUUCAGUUCACACUUAAGGAGGGCAUUUGCUUUAGUCAUUGCCAGCUCCCACUCAUAACUUGAAAAGCCUCAAAUUGUGCCGGCUACAGGGGGUCAUACUAAAUUGUUGUCAGCAUUGAACGAAAGUCCUAAGCACAUCGUUCCGAGCAACUGAUAUAAGAGUAAGUAGAGCUUUGAACAAAGGCAAAUGCGUCGGGCAGAGCGUUUGGAGAUACGUAUUUUGAAUAAAAAGUUAAACUUUGUGCAGUCCGAAUACAAAACCCUUGAAAGCAUUGUAUAUAAGUUUGAGAGACAAAGAAAAGCACCAUUCGAGAAGGCUGAUUAAUUGAAUUGCUCUUCACUGUGCAUGCCAACGGUGACGGAAAUAUAUUUAUCAAUACACUUUUUAGUCACACGAAAUGGGUACCAUCUAAACCAAGGAAGAGACUCGAGGAUGCACAAAAGCACUGUUGAAUGUCUUCUGACGAUGGUUUGGUGAGUGAAAUGUAAAGCCAGGAUUUACAAAUAUUACACAAGUGAACACUGUUACUGCACUCAGGCUGAAAAAUCCUGUUCAAAUCCAAUAAGUGGUUUAAGAUGUGCAAAUAGAGGCUUCUGCAGGGAGUCAGGCAUUAGAAGCCACCUGGAGCAUGUGCUAGAGAUUGUAUCCAUCAAUACAGCAGCUGGGCUGAAAUUAUAAAGAGAGCUGCUUUUCAUCACGCUUGUUUUAAUGCAUACAUUUCUCCUGUCACUGGCACCCCAGGAAAACUGCUAAGCACAAAAAUGAAUGGUGCCCAUUACCUGAUAUUCAUACUUGUGACAACAGAGGAAAGAAUCACAACACAACAGUAAGCAAAAAAAUUGAUAUCCAAAUUAUUUUUAAGUUGCUGCAGUAGGAGAAAAUCUUGAAAACCAAUUGGCAAUAUUUUAAUAUGAGAAGUGGGGGGGGGAAGCAGAGUCAUUUCAUAGUUGAUUGUAAAUGUCCUUCUUCGACGAUAUAGAUGGGCCCUACAAUUAUUUUCAAUGCUGGGUCACAUUCUAAACUACAUUUUUGUACUUGAGAAUGGGGGAGAGAUGUGUUCUCUAGUAUGAGACUCCAUGCAAAAUGCUGGUUGGGGAAAAUCUUAGGAGCCUGGGUUGGAUCCAACCUGUCCCAAUGUCGGAGCCAGAAAGCACAGUCCCUGAAGUGGUUCUGUAACCGUUGGGCUGAUGGACUGGUGUUCAGGCCUCUCUAGCAUUUCAUGUGACUCAUAACUAAAUAGCAAGUGCCAGCUAUUGCCUAAUUGUGCUUUAAUGAUGAUGGCACAAUCUAUAUAUAACAUACUAUUAAACUGAUGCCUUUGGAACAACAUGGAAACAGCCUCAGUAAUAGCUAAUUAUUAAAAAGACAAAACAAAUCAAUGGUAACGAAAAGAGAUCAGUGGUUGCUUCACGUCUGGGGUGAGGACGAGUUUGACUGGAAAGAGGCAUGAAAGUCGUUUUUGGGGGAACAGAAAUGUGAUCUACCUUUGUUGUGACAGUGAUGACACAAGUGUGUACAUUUAUCAAAGCUCAUUGCCCUGAGUAAUUAAAAUGGAUACAUUUCAUCGUGUAUAAAUUAUACCUCAAUAAAGCUGAUCUUUUUGAAAGCAUCAGUAUCAGAAACAUCAUUUCAGUAUGUUGUGGUUUGAUAUUUUAUAUAACCGACUUCAAUUUUCUCUUUCUCUUUUCAUUUGUUAAAUGUCUGCGAAUUCGCCUUUCACUACCUAAGAGGACUUGGGCCAUUUGUCGAGCUUGUGGAGCUUACUGGAGAGUGAAUUUGCAUUUCAGAAGGAAACUUUCUAC
This 2544-nucleotide long non-coding RNA is filed under the name Canis lupus familiaris (dog). RNAcentral's name for it is "lncRNA (ENSCAFG00000048386.2)". The record is from RNAcentral. Lineage: Eukaryota; Metazoa; Chordata; Mammalia; Carnivora; Canidae.